GAGUUUGAACCUGGCUCAGGAUGAACGCUGGCGGCGUGCCUAACACAUGCAAGUCGAGCGAAGCACUUUAAUUCGAUUCUUCGGAUGAAGAUUUUUGUGACUGAGCGGCGGACGGGUGAGUAACGCGUGGGCAACCUGCCUUACACAGGGGGAUAACAGUUAGAAAUGACUGCUAAUACCGCAUAAGACCGCAGUACCGCAUGGUACAGCGGUAAAAACUCCGGUGGUGUAAGAUGGGCCCGCGUCUGAUUAGGUAGUUGGCGGGGUAACGGCCCACCAAGCCGACGAUCAGUAGCCGACCUGAGAGGGUGACCGGCCACAUUGGGCCUGAGACACGGCCCAGACUCCUACGGGAGGCAGCAGUGGGGAAUAUUGCACAAUGGGGGAAACCCUGAUGCAGCGACGCCGCGUGAGCGAUGAAGUAUUUCGGUAUGUAAAGCUCUAUCAGCAGGGAAGAAAAUGACGGUACCUGACUAAGAAGCCCCGGCUAACUACGUGCCAGCAGCCGCGGUAAUACGUAGGGGGCAAGCGUUAUCCGGAUUUACUGGGUGUAAAGGGAGCGUAGACGGCUGUGCAAGCCAGAUGUGAAAGCCCGGGGCUCAACCCCGGGACUGCAUUUGGAACUGCGUGGCUUGAGUGUCGGAGAGGCAGGCGGAAUUCCUAGUGUAGCGGUGAAAUGCGUAGAUAUUAGGAGGAACACCAGUGGCGAAGGCGGCCUGCUGGACGAUGAC
RNAcentral lists this ribosomal RNA (731 nucleotides) under uncultured bacterium. RNAcentral's name for it is "bacterial SSU rRNA". It matches the Rfam family "Bacterial small subunit ribosomal RNA", at positions 9 to 740 of the family's 1533-position model. The record is from RNAcentral.